RNAcentral lists this ribosomal RNA (2237 nucleotides) under Salmonella enterica. RNAcentral's name for it is "bacterial LSU rRNA". It matches the Rfam family "Bacterial large subunit ribosomal RNA", at positions 592 to 2812 of the family's 2925-position model. The record is from RNAcentral. Lineage: Bacteria; Pseudomonadati; Pseudomonadota; Gammaproteobacteria; Enterobacterales; Enterobacteriaceae.
GGUGACUGCGUACCUUUUGUAUAAUGGGUCAGCGACUUAUAUUCUGUAGCAAGGUUAACCGUAUAGGGGAGCCGGAGGGAAACCGAGUCUUAACCGGGCGUUAAGUUGCAGGGUAUAGACCCGAAACCCGGUGAUCUAGCCAUGGGCAGGUUGAAGGUUGGGUAACACUAACUGGAGGACCGAACCGACUAAUGUUGAAAAAUUAGCGGAUGACCUGUGGCUGGGGGUGAAAGGCCAAUCAAACCGGGAGAUAGCUGGUUCUCCCCGAAAGCUAUUUAGGUAGCGCCUCGUGAAUUCAUCUCCGGGGGUAGAGCACUGUUUCGGCUAGGGGGUCAUCCCGACUUACCAACCCGAUGCAAACUGCGAAUACCGGAGAAUGUUAUCACGGGAGACACACGGCGGGUGCUAACGUCCGUCGUGAAGAGGGAAACAACCCAGACCGCCAGCUAAGGUCCCAAAGUCAUGGUUAAGUGGGAAACGAUGUGGGAAGGCCCAGACAGCCAGGAUGUUGGCUUAGAAGCAGCCAUCAUUUAAAGAAAGCGUAAUAGCUCACUGGUCGAGUCGGCCUGCGCGGAAGAUGUAACGGGGCUAAACCAUGCACCGAAGCUGCGGCAGCGACACUCAGGUGUUGUUGGGUAGGGGAGCGUUCUGUAAGCCUGCGAAGGUGGCCUGUGAGGGUUGCUGGAGGUAUCAGAAGUGCGAAUGCUGACAUAAGUAACGAUAAAGCGGGUGAAAAGCCCGCUCGCCGGAAGACCAAGGGUUCCUGUCCAACGUUAAUCGGGGCAGGGUGAGUCGACCCCUAAGGCGAGGCCGAAAGGCGUAGUCGAUGGGAAACGGGUUAAUAUUCCCGUACUUGGUGUUACUGCGAAGGGGGGACGGAGAAGGCUAUGUUGGCCGGGCGACGGUUGUCCCGGUUUAAGCGUGUAGGUGUGUGUUCCAGGUAAAUCCGGUUCACUUUAACACUGAGGCGUGAUGACGAGGCACUACGGUGCUGAAGCAACAAAUGCCCUGCUUCCAGGAAAAGCCUCUAAGCAUCAGGUAACAUCAAAUCGUACCCCAAACCGACACAGGUGGUCAGGUAGAGAAUACCAAGGCGCUUGAGAGAACUCGGGUGAAGGAACUAGGCAAAAUGGUGCCGUAACUUCGGGAGAAGGCACGCUGACACGUAGGUGAAGUGAUUUACUCAUGGAGCUGAAGUCAGUCGAAGAUACCAGCUGGCUGCAACUGUUUAUUAAAAACACAGCACUGUGCAAACACGAAAGUGGACGUAUACGGUGUGACGCCUGCCCGGUGCCGGAAGGUUAAUUGAUGGGGUCAGCGCAAGCGAAGCUCCUGAUCGAAGCCCCGGUAAACGGCGGCCGUAACUAUAACGGUCCUAAGGUAGCGAAAUUCCUUGUCGGGUAAGUUCCGACCUGCACGAAUGGCGUAAUGAUGGCCAGGCUGUCUCCACCCGAGACUCAGUGAAAUUGAACUCGCUGUGAAGAUGCAGUGUACCCGCGGCAAGACGGAAAGACCCCGUGAACCUUUACUAUAGCUUGACACUGAACAUUGAGCCUUGAUGUGUAGGAUAGGUGGGAGGCUUUGAAGCGUGGACGCCAGUCUGCGUGGAGCCGACCUUGAAAUACCACCCUUUAAUGUUUGAUGUUCUAACGUGGACCCGUGAUCCGGGUUGCGGACAGUGUCUGGUGGGUAGUUUGACUGGGGCGGUCUCCUCCUAAAGAGUAACGGAGGAGCACGAAGGUUGGCUAAUCCUGGUCGGACAUCAGGAGGUUAGUGCAAUGGCAUAAGCCAGCUUGACUGCGAGCGUGACGGCGCGAGCAGGUGCGAAAGCAGGUCAUAGUGAUCCGGUGGUUCUGAAUGGAAGGGCCAUCGCUCAACGGAUAAAAGGUACUCCGGGGAUAACAGGCUGAUACCGCCCAAGAGUUCAUAUCGACGGCGGUGUUUGGCACCUCGAUGUCGGCUCAUCACAUCCUGGGGCUGAAGUAGGUCCCAAGGGUAUGGCUGUUCGCCAUUUAAAGUGGUACGCGAGCUGGGUUUAGAACGUCGUGAGACAGUUCGGUCCCUAUCUGCCGUGGGCGCUGGAGAACUGAGGGGGGCUGCUCCUAGUACGAGAGGACCGGAGUGGACGCAUCACUGGUGUUCGGGUUGUCAUGCCAAUGGCACUGCCCGGUAGCUAAAUGCGGAAGAGAUAAGUGCUGAAAGCAUCUAAGCACGAAACUUGCCCCGAGAUGAGUUCU